This 875-nucleotide long non-coding RNA is filed under the name Gallus gallus (chicken). RNAcentral describes it as "lncRNA (ENSGALG00010008876.1)". The record is from RNAcentral. Lineage: Eukaryota; Metazoa; Chordata; Aves; Galliformes; Phasianidae.
UAGAAUGGUGCUGGAGAGUGUUUCUGCAAAUAUCGUUAGGGGUCUUUUAGUCACAUAUUGCAUUCGUGCAGGCUUUUACUUAACAUUGAGUUGAUUAUUUACUUAUUUAUUUUUCUGUAAAAUAUGUAAAGAUGCUUCCGCACUUCUUGGAGAGGAAAAGAAUUGUGACUAGUGCUAUUUUAAGCUUAAAGAAGCCUGCUAUCAUAAGAAAAUCCUAAUAGAUAAUUGUGUCCCUGCACUUGCAGGUGUACCGAAGUCUGUUAACUCCCACCUGGGAAGCUGUUUUGGGUGCCCUACAGAAAAACAGAAGUCUGGCAUUGCUUCCUGUGAGAGCCGAAAGCCUGGAACUGGAGCCAAAGGUCUGGCACAAAAUAUCAUUAUGGAACCUCUGAUUCCAUUACAGCCGUGGAGAGCAGAACGAAGUCAAGAAGCCUGUAAAGAAGGUGGUUCCCGCAGGCAGCGAGCUGUGCACUGACCCCAGGCUUCUGCAGCGACUACGUCUGGAGGAGUUUCUCCACUUGCUGGAAAGAAAACAUAAGGAGAAUUUUAGUGGGCAAAAUAAAGGCAUCUCUGCUCAUGUGAAUGCUCACCCAUGAGCACAACAGAGCAACACAUGUGAACCACAGAUUUUGUUUCUCUACUUUUCUUGCAGUCAUUCAUACUGUUACCUUUUUCAAUGUAUUGAUCUGCUUUUUCUGUAAACGGUGACCCCUUGUAAAGGGGUAAAUUCAGCUUGGAAGUAAUGUCUAGUAAUGUCUAGUUUCUGAUAUGCCUUUUUUCAAGGCUCACUGAGCUGAGGAAAAGGGUAUUUAAAAAGCAGACUUUGAAUAAUGCUUUAUUCAUUACACUAAAUAGCUUAUUCAUUUACUAAUCUG